Molecule: ribosomal RNA, 775 nt
Filed under: uncultured Neocallimastigales
Lineage: Eukaryota; Fungi; Neocallimastigomycota; Neocallimastigomycetes; Neocallimastigales
Description: partial large subunit ribosomal RNA
Rfam family: Eukaryotic large subunit ribosomal RNA
Source: RNAcentral
CGCAUCUGUGCAUGCAGCAUAUCAAUAAGCGGAGGAAAAGAAACUAACAAGGAUUCCCCUAGUAACGGCGAGUGAAGCGGGAAGAGCUCAAAUUUGAAAUCUUAAAGGGUUUCCCUUUACGAAUUGUAGUUUAAAGAAGUGUUUUCUGUUGAGGUUUUGGUAAAAGUUCUUUGGAAUAGGACAUCAUAGAGGGUGAGAAUCCCGUAUUUGACCUUUACUUUCAACUUUGUGAUACACUUUCAAAGAGUCGGAUUGUUUGGGAAUGCAGUCCAAAAUGGGUGGUAAAUUUCAGUCUAAAGCUAAAUAUUGGCGAGAGACCGAUAGCGAACAAGUACCGUGAGGGAAAGAUGAAAAGAACUUUGAAAAGAGAGUUAAACAGUACGUGAAAUUGUCGAAAGGGAAGCGUUUGACACCAGUGUUGUUUUUCUGAAAAUCAAUUAAAGAACUGUUUAUGCUAAGUUGUUUAGACUUUAUCAGCUAACUGUUUAGUUUUGAGCUUUUCUUUAAUGCACUUUUCAGUUAACAAGUCAACAUCAAUUUCUUUUGCUGUAAAAAAGCUUGAGGAAGGUGGCUUGAGAUUCGUCUUAAGUGUUUAUAGCCUCUUGCCUAUGCAGUCGGAGAGAUUGAGGUCUGCAGCGUAGAUCCUUCGGGGCUAAAUGCAUUUGUGCUAAGUUAUAGCAUUUUAUAGACAACUUGUUGACUAUGAUUUGUCUUGUAGCUUACUCGCUUAUGUUAUUUUACCUACGCUUAGGAUGUUGAAUCUGUGCGAGACUAC